This 446-nucleotide ribosomal RNA is filed under the name uncultured bacterium. Its description in RNAcentral is "partial 16S ribosomal RNA". It matches the Rfam family "Bacterial small subunit ribosomal RNA", at positions 338 to 795 of the family's 1533-position model. The record is from RNAcentral.
CCUACGGGUGGCUGCAGUCGAGAAUCAUUCACAAUGGGGGAAACCCUGAUGGUGCGACGCCGCGUGGGGGAAUGAAGGUCUUCGGAUUGUAAACCCCUGUCAUGUGGGAGCAAAUUAAAAAGAUAGUACCACAAGAGGAAGAGACGGCUAACUCUGUGCCAGCAGCCGCGGUAAUACAGAGGUCUCAAGCGUUGUUCGGAAUCACUGGGCGUAAAGCGUGCGUAGGCUGUUUCGUAAGUCGUGUGUGAAAGGCGCGGGCUCAACCCGCGGACGGCACAUGAUACUGCGAGACUAGAGUAAGGGAGGGGGAACUGGAAUUCUCGGUGUAGCAGUGAAAUGCGUAGAUAUCGAGAGGAACACUCGUGGCGAAGGCGGGUUCCUGGACAUUAACUGACGCUGAGGCACGAAGGCCAGGGGAGCGAAAGGGAUUAGAUACCCGAGUAGUC